GGGUCAUUUCUUAUCUUUUUGAUAUAAGCCAUUCUGCCCAGUAUGAGAUAUUGAAGCAUCCUUUCAUCACUGGAAUAAAACCUACUUGAUUCUGUAAUCUCUACACCAAAUGUGGAGCUCGAACUCAUGACCCGAGACCAAGAGCUACACGUUCUGACUGAGGAAGCCAGGUGAACAGCUACUUCUGCUAAUCUUGAAGGAAUGGCCUAACUUAGAAACGUUCCCUGUGUAGACUGCAUGUGCUUGGUGGCUUUGGCUGACAGGCCAGAGCUAAGGUGGUCAGUCUGUCCUUUGUCAAGAAAAGCUGUUCAGUCAGCCUCAAUUCAGUAGUAGGAGACUGACUGCUGUGUAGGUUGAAAUUUAACAGCCUGUUGGGGCUGAGAAGCCAAGCUAAAUACUUGCCAUCGGUCUUUCCUGUGAUACCUAUCAAUUUGACUUAUUUCCUCUCUUCUUGAGGUCCCUUGGAGUUCUUGCUCUUUUUAGGAAGUGCCCUUCUUCAAUCACUUGGGAGAAGAGAUUCUCAUUGAACUUCUGCAAAUAACUAUGUUGCCAUGAAUAUAAGAAUGCUCACUCAGAGUUUCUGAAUUCUGGAGGGAUCAUAGGAGGAAGCAAAAGAUAAAUGUUUCAAUUCUAUUUACAAAGGUGUAAUUUACCAAAAUGAUGUUAAGUCUUAGUUAGCUUAAGAGGAAAGGUUUUCUUAUAUCUGGAACACAAAAGAUUAAAGAACCAGCAAUAUUGUGAACAA
Molecule: long non-coding RNA, 745 nt
Organism: Canis lupus familiaris (dog)
Lineage: Eukaryota; Metazoa; Chordata; Mammalia; Carnivora; Canidae
Exons: 7
Source: RefSeq, a predicted model, not a curated record